UCUGGCUCAGGAUGAACGCUAGCUACAGGCUUAACACAUGCAAGUCGAGGGGUAGCAGGGUAGCAAUACCGCUGACGACCGGCGCACGGGUGAGUAACACGUAUCCAACCUUCCCAUAACUCAGGGAUAGCCUUUCGAAAGAAAGAUUAAUACCUGAUAGUACUUUUUCAAGGCAUCUUGAGAAAGUUAAAGAUUUAUUGGUUAUGGAUGGGGAUGCGUUCCAUUAGAUAGUUGGUGAGGUAACGGCUCACCAAGUCUUCGAUGGAUAGGGGUUCUGAGAGGAAGGUCCCCCACAUUGGUACUGAGACACGGACCAAACUCCUACGGGAGGCAGCAGUGAGGAAUAUUGGUCAAUGGGCGAGAGCCUGAACCAGCCAAGUAGCGUGAAGGAAUGAAGGUCCUAUGGAUUGUAAACUUCUUUUAUAGUAGAAUAAAGUGAUCCACGUGUGGAUUUUUGUAUGUAUACUAUGAAUAAGGAUCGGCUAACUCCGUGCCAGCCGCGGC
RNAcentral lists this ribosomal RNA (504 nucleotides) under uncultured bacterium. RNAcentral describes it as "bacterial SSU rRNA". It matches the Rfam family "Bacterial small subunit ribosomal RNA", at positions 18 to 518 of the family's 1533-position model. The record is from RNAcentral.